ACAGGGUGACAGGUGGUGCAUGGUUGUCGUCAGCUCGUGUCGUGAGAUGUUGGGUUAAGUCCCGCAACGAGCGCAACCCUCGACCUUAGUUGCCAGCAUUCAGUUGGGCACUCUAAGGUGACUGCCGGCUAAAAGUCGAGGAAGGUGGGGAUGACGUCAAAUCAUCAUGCCCCUUAUGACCUGGGCUACACACGUGCUACAAUGGGCGGUACAAAGGGUCGCGAACCCGCGAGGGGGAGCCAAUCCCAAAAAGCCGCUCUCAGUUCGGAUUGCAGGCUGCAACUCGCCUGCAUGAAGCCGGAAUCGCUAGUAAUCGCGGAUCAGCAUGCCGCGGUGAAUACGUUCCCGGGCCUU
RNAcentral lists this ribosomal RNA (354 nucleotides) under uncultured Anoxybacillus sp. Its description in RNAcentral is "bacterial SSU rRNA". It matches the Rfam family "Bacterial small subunit ribosomal RNA", at positions 1026 to 1382 of the family's 1533-position model. The record is from RNAcentral. Lineage: Bacteria; Bacillati; Bacillota; Bacilli; Caryophanales; Anoxybacillaceae.